Long non-coding RNA from Acanthochromis polyacanthus (spiny chromis), 1143 nucleotides. RefSeq lists it as uncharacterized. NCBI's taxonomy places the organism in Eukaryota, Metazoa, Chordata, Actinopteri, Pomacentridae. The transcript has 3 exons. The record is from RefSeq and is a predicted model, not a curated record.
AGGACUGUCGUAGCUAACGUUAGCUCUGGUGCUAACUAGGGAUGUAUACCGUGGACCGGUACUCUAAUGUACCGGUCCAUGAUUGGUUCGGUCCGCGAACACCGUUAAGAUUCUGGAAAAACGGUACUAUUAUCGGUGCUUUGAAUGUCUCUUCAACUGUCGCUUAGUUACGACACUACCGCCGUCGACGGGUGAUGCGUAGAUAAGCAUGUCGGCGAGGGCUAAGCGCUCAAAGGUCUGGCUUCACUUUACCAAAGUGGAUGAAAACUCCGCCCGAUGCAAUGUGUGUGAGAAAACAGUUGCGUCCAAGGGGAGGAACAUGAGCAAUAUUACGAAACAUUUGGAGCGCGCGCACCGGAUAAAGCUUAAGGAGUGCGGACUAUUUGAUUGCUAUACCAAUAGCAUUAGCAACGCGAGUAAAGACUGCAGCACCGUGGCAGCGGCGCCCGACUUUUUUUCUACAUCAAGACCGGCUGAUGGAGGUAGCAGUGAAAGAACAGCUGUCAGAGGAUGAAGAUGUGAAGAUGAUGACUGAAGCUGAGUUCCAGGGGGGUGAAGAAGAGGAGGAGGAGGAAGGGGAGGAGGAUCAUCCAAAACCAAAAUCUGCACUGGGAGAGCUCUCCGCACAGGAAAAUAGACAACUGCAAAGGCAGCUCAGUCAGCAGCAGCAGAGUACACCAACAAUUCAAGAAAGACUGAAAAAAGAACUUAAAGUUUACAGAGAUCUUCCUCCCAUCCCUACUGAACAAGACCCUGUCCACUGGUGGUGGGAUAAGAUGGACACACUUCCCUUACUCUCACAGCUAUCUUUCACCUACCUCUGCGUCCAGGCCUCUUCAACGUCAUCUGAACGAGUGUUCUCAACCACUGGAGACACACUCUGUCAAGAGAGAGAUCUCGGCUGCUGCCAGACAAAGUUAACACGUUGCUGUUCCUUAAAAAUAACUGUUAAAGCCAAGUAAGGAUGGAAAAGUGCCUCCUCUACUACUUGCUCUGUUCUGCUUGAUGUAUGGGUCUGUCUUUCUUUGCAGCCUGUUAAGGAGCAUGAAGGGGUUUUGCCUGUGAGAAGCAUUAAAGUUAAUGGUUUACUUCUGUUGAAGCUUUAUUACCUUGUUGUAAUAAAAAAAAGGAUGAAACUUUAAA